This 446-nucleotide ribosomal RNA is filed under the name uncultured bacterium. RNAcentral's name for it is "partial 16S ribosomal RNA". It matches the Rfam family "Bacterial small subunit ribosomal RNA", at positions 338 to 795 of the family's 1533-position model. The record is from RNAcentral.
CCUACGGGUGACAGCAGUAGGGAAUUUUCGGCAAUGGGGGGAACCCUGACGGAGCAACGCCGCGUGAACGAAGAAGUUAUUCGUAUUGUAAAGUUCUUUUGACAGGGAGGAAAGAGAAAUUUGACGGUACCUGAAGAAUAGGCUCCGGCUAACUACGUACCAGCGGCCGCGGUAGUACGUAGGGAGCGAGCAUUAUCGGGAAUGAUGGGGCGAAAAGGGUGGGUAGAUGGCAUAGUAAGUCUUUUGUAAAAAUGCUGGGUUCAACCCAGUAGGGCAAAAGAUACUGCAAAGCUAGAGUAUGAGAGAGGCAAGUGGAACUACAGGUGUAGCGGUAAAAUGCGUAAAGAUAUGUAAGAACACCAGUGGCGAAGGCGGCUUGCUGGGACGAUACUGACAUUGAGGCACGAAAGCGUGGGGAGCAAACAGGAUUAGAUACCCGUGUAGUC